Molecule: long non-coding RNA, 1453 nt
Organism: Oncorhynchus keta (chum salmon)
Lineage: Eukaryota; Metazoa; Chordata; Actinopteri; Salmoniformes; Salmonidae
Exons: 3
Source: RefSeq, a predicted model, not a curated record
AGUCAAAUUAGUGAUUUUUAUCUGUCUGUGUCUCUCUCAUUUCAGAACGGCGGCAUGAUCGAAAACACGUUUUAUCUUUCCAUUCCGUUGAUUGGUUGACAUGAGAUGAUAUUGGAUUUGUGCUCAUUUAUUAAUUAACAGGUGACACCAGCGCGUCUACCUUUAUAAAUCCAUCCCCUACUGUCUCGUUAAAAUGAAUCAGUUCUGGCUGUUGAGUCCAAGGAGGACUAGGUCACAGUUGAGCAGCAGGUGACCAAUGUUUAUAACUGUUUCAUUUAUGGAAUGCUUUGGAAAAAAAACCUUCCUCAUCCUUUGAGUUUGUCAAACAAUUUGGUUAAUGCAAGUUAAUUUUUAUCUACCUUUACCCCUUAUUUCUCUGCCAUUUUAAAACCUACUAUGUAAAGGCAGUAUAUGUAACCUGGAAUUGGCAUGUGUUUUAAACGUAGCGGAUGCCGACUAGACCAUUUUGAGAUGCUACCCCGUGUGGUUCAUACUAGGCCUACACCCUUUGAGUAAGAGGGUCCUUUUUUUUUUCAGACCGAUUCCUCAAAAGGUCAUUGAUCGCUGUCUCAUUGCAUCAUGUCCUUAUUGAUCCUGUUUGGUAGUUCAGGACUCUUGUUGACCACCAUGUCAACAGGUGGUCCUACACCACAUGACAUCACCCAGCACCGUAACGGCCACUGUGCAGACUAUACUGGGUCGUGGGCUGGUUGGUAAUCAUCUUGUCCUGCUGCUGUGGAGAGUCCCAGUCUUUAUCAGCAACAACAUAGUGACGGCUCAGAUCUUCUGGGAGAGGCUGUGGAUGAUACUGUGACGUGCAGAGUACUGGACAGAUGCAAGGUGUACGGACUCCAUGUUGACUCUCCCCAGAGACCUGCAGAACCAUCAUCUCCAUCUUGGUCUCCAGCAUCGCCGGGAUGGGGAAAGUGCAACAGCUGCUCGGCGCGAGGGUUCCGGAACCGAGGCCCAGGUUGCCACGGCAGCUGGGAUUCUGUUCCCGAUUUGCCGGGGUGCUGAGUCUGUCUCUCAGCUGGACAGCUCAGUGUCAUCAUUGACUUCUAUAAUCCUCUGGAACACCAAGGCUUAAAGAGCUGGGUGCAGCAUUAGACCAGGGUCCUAUUCCCUAUAUAGUGCACUACUUUAGACCAGAGUCCUAUAGAACCCUAUUCCCUAUAUAGUGCACUACUUUAGACCAGGGUCCACUGACAGCUUUCUGUUUCAGACUGAAGAUCUAAUGAAGUUCCUUGUAAAUCUGAUGAAAUAAAGGUAUUUAUUUAUUUACACUUUCUCAAAACGAGAGGAUAGCAGAAAAACAAAGAUGACUGUUGGGCCGGAACAAAUCCCUGCAGGAGCGUAGCUCCCCAGGACAAGAGUUGGCCACCACAUCACAGCUCUAAGAUAUCAGGGCCGUGUUCACAAAGCAUCUCAGAACAGGUGUGCUGAUCUAGCAUCA